Molecule: non-coding RNA, 83 nt
Organism: Solanum lycopersicum (tomato)
Lineage: Eukaryota; Viridiplantae; Streptophyta; Magnoliopsida; Solanales; Solanaceae
Source: Rfam
GAGCAGUGAUGUUUACAAAUUGUGAACGAUUGGGUCGUCACUUACAUUUGAUUUAUAAGAUGAGAUAAUGUGUAUCUGAGCUU